CAUGCUUCUACCAACGGAUGAUGGGGUCUGACAAUAGAGCUGAUGGGAACAUUCUCACCGAAGAGGAAGAAGAAGAUUCUGAACUACAUUGAGGCCAUGGAGUGUGUUUAAUGAGUAAUACAGCUAACGGUGUUCCACAAGACUGCUACCACAGACCUUCAUGGGACCUAUCCAUUCUUUCUGGGUUGGCUUGAGGUUCUUCAGAGAGAAACUGAAAACAGGACACAGACCUAAAGCAGAGGACAACAGCUCUACAUUGACUCAGAGUAAUCCUCCAGUACGAC
Long non-coding RNA from Engraulis encrasicolus (European anchovy), 284 nucleotides. RefSeq lists it as uncharacterized. NCBI's taxonomy places the organism in Eukaryota, Metazoa, Chordata, Actinopteri, Clupeiformes, Engraulidae. The record is from RefSeq and is a predicted model, not a curated record. The transcript has 3 exons.